Molecule: long non-coding RNA, 501 nt
Filed under: Sinocyclocheilus grahami
Lineage: Eukaryota; Metazoa; Chordata; Actinopteri; Cypriniformes; Cyprinidae
Description: lncRNA (ENSSGRG00000040583.1)
Source: RNAcentral
UCCAAGAUCUGAGCUCUAACUUCAUCCCCUUUGACGAUGAUGAAGAGGAGGUGGAAGAAGAGGAAGAGACAUAUGAUGACAUUGAACGAGCUACCACACCACCACCACCACGUCCUGGGCCAGCAUCUGCUCCAGUUACAACCCCGAGUCUGGGACAAACCCCCCAAAGCAGCCGCAAGGAAUGGAAGGACCAAGCAGAGGCUCAGGAAGAUGAAGAAGAGGAUGAAGAGGACAUUUAUGAAGUGCUUCCAGAUGAUGAAAAUACUGACAAUGCUGAAGAGUGGAGUGAAAAGCCUGGGUCUUCAGAUUAUGCAAAUUAUUACCAAGGCUUGUGGGAUUGUGAAGCUGAUAGACCUGAUGAGUUGGCCUUCCAGAGAGGAGAUGUCAUCCACAUCCUCAGCAAGGGGCUGUAAACCAGGAAUCUUAGAUGCCAGUCGAGACAAGGUCCAACCUACUUUUAACAUCCAGAUGCUCCAUCAGUAUGGCUGUGGACACUACUGC